CAAACAUCAGUUGUCACUUGUUGGGACCAUUAACUAGACAAGUCCAAAACAAAACUCAGAACAGAGAGGACAUGUCGUGCAUUCUAUAAAUUAUGUGUUCUGAGAACCUAUUAAAGCUGACAGCGAAGGGGGCCUGCUAUUGAUUCAUUGCUGUUGCUGCUGAUGAUGAAAUAACAUUAGUAACAACUACCUUCUAUUUAGUAAAUAUGAUGUUCCAUGCAUUAUGCUAAGACAUGAUUUUUCGUCAAAUCUUGAAAACAAUUUUAUACAUGAAACAGAAGAAGGCACUUCUUUAAAGUCACACCUAAUAUUUUACAGAAGGACGGAAAUAAGAGAUGGGGUCUCACUAUAUUGUCCAUGCUUGACUCAAACUCCUGGACUCCAGGGGAUCCUCCUGCCUGAGCCUCCUGAGUAUCUGUGACUGAAGGUGCAUGCCGCUACACCCUGCUUGAGUUUUGUGCUUUUUAAAAUUAGCAUCCUGGGGUCAGGGGUGGUGGCUCAUACAUGUAAUCCCAGCACUUUGGGAGGCUGAGGUGGGCAAACCACGUGACUCCUUCUAGAAAUUAUUUAACAAGGCUGGACUCCAAAUCCAAACAGUUCCCUGUCUGAGGUGGGCAGCAGUGAAAUAUCUGAGGCUCCACCCCGUCUUUGCCCUAAGUCUCCCAGGUGCUUCUUUUGCCAAAAAAAAAAAAAAAAAAAAAAGCAUCUUCUGUGCUUACUACGCCUAGUUUCAGCACUUUGCCAGGGAUUUGCAUAGAGCUUUUAAGUAAAAGCUGAAGAUCCUCCUCUGUAGUCCCCUCCAUUCUAUGAUUUUCCUCUCAUACUCCAUACACUCUGGCAGCUUCAAAUUUCAUACUUUCACUUCUCAAGACAAGAAGACUACAGAUAGGCCAGGUGCAGUGGCUUACGCCUGUAAACCUAGCACUUUAGGAGGCCGAGACGGGUGGAUCCAUUGAGGUCAGGAGUUCAAGACCAGCCUGGCUGACAUGGCAAAACCCCGUCUCUACUAAAAAUACAAAAAUUAACCAGGCAUGGUGUGCCUGUAAUCCCAGCUACUCAGGAGGCUGAGGUAGGAGAAUUGCUUGAACUGGGGAGGCAGAGGUUGCAGUGAGCUGAGAUCAUACCAUUGCACUCCAGCCUCAGCCUGGGGGACAAG
This 1156-nucleotide long non-coding RNA is filed under the name Homo sapiens (human). RNAcentral describes it as "HSALNT0232014". Lineage: Eukaryota; Metazoa; Chordata; Mammalia; Primates; Hominidae. The record is from RNAcentral.